This is a non-coding RNA of Dipodomys ordii (Ord's kangaroo rat), 72 nucleotides long. The record is from Rfam. Lineage: Eukaryota; Metazoa; Chordata; Mammalia; Rodentia; Heteromyidae.
GUGAAGGUGGCUCAGUGGUGGAGUGCUUGCCUUGCAUGCAUGAGGCCCAGGGUUCGAUUCCUCAGCACCACA